This is a non-coding RNA of Ictidomys tridecemlineatus (thirteen-lined ground squirrel), 1598 nucleotides long. The record is from RefSeq and is a predicted model, not a curated record. Lineage: Eukaryota; Metazoa; Chordata; Mammalia; Rodentia; Sciuridae.
AAAGGUCAAAGCCAAAAUCGACAGGUUACCUUGUGUUCUUUUUGGCUGCUCACCAGGAAGGAGAGGCAUCAAAAUGACAAGCAGAAAAUUCAAAGGGCAUUUCAGGCACAGUAAGCAGACACUUGGGCUGGAACUACACAAUAAUGGGCACACUUAAUAUUUCUCCAAAGUACGUAGACAUUUGGUUAGAAGUUAUUAAUCAUAUUUGUUUAAGUGGAAGUUGGUUGCAACUAUUUUUUUUUUCUUUUUGGACAAGCACAUGAAAGGGAAGAAAAUAUGUUGAAUACUAUUCAAGUCCACAAGGAAUGAGAAUUGGCUCAGGUUUUCUUAAUAUACUCUCCUCUCUGUGGACCUCAAAUGGACAGAACAGUAAACCUGAGGUACAGUGAAUGAAUCAUGAUGUGCUGCAGUCUCAAUAUUUAGCCUCAAUAUUAAUGUAUUUUCAUGACAGUGGGGUGAUGGUGGUAGUUUUUGCUUAUUAGGAUGACUGACCCAGAUUUGAAUGAUAAGAUUUUGAGAAGAAAACCUAAUUUAAAAAGAUGCAGCCAGUGAUAUAUCGAAGUUAGCUGCUAUGGCUCCUUAUUGGUAAAACUGGGGGACUUUUCAAGCCAGUUAAAGCAGUGAAGAUUUUGAGAUCAGCAUUGGUGAGAGAAUUUAUACCAUGGAAAUUAACAAAUACAGUAAUCAAGGCUUUCUUUUCCUUUUCUUUCCUUCUUUUAUUGUUUAGAAAGCCAACGGUUAAACAUUUACCAACAGACAACUGGACACAAUCUCCCCAAAAGCUUGCAAUCCAGAUCAGUGUCAAUUUUGAUUAACAACAGAGGAAAUACAAGGCACCUAGUAUAUCCAUUUCCUCUCCUCCCUGUUUGAGAGGUAAUCUUCACCAUCCACAAGUCUAGAUUACCACAGGUAAUAAGAUCUGGCUUACCUAAGGAACCUGAUACCAUGCAGAGCUGAGAAAUAUCGAAAAAGAGUUAAAAUGAAGUGUGGAACAGUUAUGCAUAUCAAGCACCACUUAUUUUAGUUGAACACACAUACUUUAUUAAGAAUGAACAAAAGAAGAAAAAAAGUCAUCACUUUUCCUCUAGUUAAUAAUGAAUCUCCCUUUCCCUGUUUCGAAAUGCUUUUUGUUCAGUGAAAUUCAGAAGCUAUUUAAAAAAAAAAAAAAUCCCAAUACAGCUUUUCCAUCUAGAAGUCUUGUUAAAAGCCCAGGAAUCUUUUCUUGAAUUAAACCUUACUUCAAAAGCAUCAACUGCGGUCUCUGUUUGUCCCUGUGAGGAAGAAUUAAACACUGCAGAGCUAAGAUCCCAGAGUGAUUCUUCUUUUUUUCUGCCUCAAACAAAUUUUCUUUCAGGGCAACCCCAUGGACAAGCAGCCCAUGAAGAAGGCUUAGGAAGAAAGGCUUUUGCAUUCUGUACAUAUGUUAAGGAUCUGAGCAUUCCAAGAUUUAGGUGAUGGCUUCUUGCUGUGGGGAUUUGCAUUCUCUGGCAUUAGUCAAGGUCAAAGUACAGAGCCUUUGUGUGCAUUCUAAGCCCUUUCAAAUAUGUGUUCACCCCCUGGUGUGAUGCAUUAAAAAAAGAUACCUUAUUCAGAAUCGA